GCUGGGUGUGGUGGUGCAUGCCUAUAGUCCCAGCUACUUGGGGAGGCUGAGGUGGGGGGCUCACUUGAGCCUGGGAGGUUGGGGCUGCAGUGAGCCGUGAUUGUGCCACUGUAUUCCAGCCUGGGUGACACAGUGAGACCCCCUCUCAU
Unclassified non-coding RNA from Pongo abelii (Sumatran orangutan), 149 nucleotides. It matches the Rfam family "Metazoan signal recognition particle RNA". From Rfam's summary of the family: The signal recognition particle (SRP) is a universally conserved ribonucleoprotein. It is involved in the co-translational targeting of proteins to membranes. The record is from Ensembl. NCBI's taxonomy places the organism in Eukaryota, Metazoa, Chordata, Mammalia, Primates, Hominidae.